GGCCAUUGCUAUCGGAGUCCGAUUUAGCCAUGCUAGUUGUACGAGUUUAGACUCGUAGCAUAUAGCUCAGUAACACGUGGCCAAACUACCCUACAGACCGCGAUAACCUCGGGAAACUGAGGCCAAUAGCGGAUAUAACUCCCAUGCUGGAGUGCCGAGAGUUAGAAACGUUCCGGCGCUGUAGGAUGUGGCUGCGGCCGAUUAGGUAGAUGGUGGGGUAACGGCCCACCAUGCCGAUAAUCGGUACAGGUUGUGAGAGCAAGAGCCUGGAGACGGUAUCUGAGACAAGAUACCGGGCCCUACGGGGCGCAGCAGGCGCGAAACCUUUACACUGCACGACAGUGCGAUAGGGGGACUCCGAGUGUGAGGGCAUAUAGCCCUCGCUUUUCUGUACCGUAAGGUGGUACAGGAACAAGGACUGGGCAAGACCGGUGCCAGCCGCCGCGGUAAUACCGGCAGUCCAAGUGAUGGCCGAUAUUAUUGGGCCUAAAGCGUCCGUAGCUUGCUGUGUAAGUCCAUUGGGAAAUCGACCAGCUCAACUGGUCGGCGUCCGGUGGAAACUACACAGCUUGGGGCCGAGAGACUCAACGGGUACGUCCGGGGUAGGAGUGGAAUCCUGUAAUCCUGGACGGACCACCAAUGGGGAAACCACGUUGAGAGACCGGACCCGACAGUGAGGGACGAAAGCCAGGGUCUCGAACCGGAUUAGAUACCCGGGUAGUCCUGGCUGUAAACAAUGCUCGCUAGGUAUGUCACGCGCCAUGAGCACGUGAUGUGCCGUAGUGAAGACGAUAAGCGAGCCGCCUGGGAAGUACGUCCGCAAGGAUGAAACUUAAAGGAAUUGGCGGGGGAGCACCACAACCGGAGGAGCCUGCGGUUU
RNAcentral lists this ribosomal RNA (880 nucleotides) under uncultured archaeon pPACMA-S. RNAcentral describes it as "bacterial SSU rRNA". It matches the Rfam family "Archaeal small subunit ribosomal RNA", at positions 22 to 903 of the family's 1478-position model. The record is from RNAcentral.